This is a small nucleolar RNA of Spea bombifrons (plains spadefoot toad), 71 nucleotides long. NCBI's taxonomy places the organism in Eukaryota, Metazoa, Chordata, Amphibia, Anura, Pelobatidae. The record is from RefSeq and is a predicted model, not a curated record.
UGGAGGUGAUGUAAGUUGCAACCUCCUGACUGAAAUCAUGGAGGCAAAAACUGAUUUAAUGAGGCUGAUCC